UACGAGGGGGGCAAGCGUUGUUCGGAAUUAUUGGGCGUAAAGGGCGCGUAGGCGGUGCGGUAAGUCACCUGUGAAAACUCUGGGCUCAACUCAGAGCCUGCAGGCGAAACUGCCGUGCUGGAGUGUGGGAGAGGUGCGUGGAAUUCCCGGUGUAGCGGUGAAAUUCGUAGAUAUUCGCAAGAACACCAGUGGCGAAGGCGGCUCACUGGCCCGAUACUGACGCUGAGGUGCGAAAGCGUGGGGAGCGAACCGGG
Molecule: ribosomal RNA, 254 nt
Filed under: uncultured bacterium
Lineage: Bacteria
Description: partial 16S ribosomal RNA
Rfam family: Bacterial small subunit ribosomal RNA
Source: RNAcentral